Tachysurus fulvidraco (yellow catfish) is the source of this 522-nucleotide non-coding RNA. The record is from the annotation of a RefSeq genome assembly. NCBI's taxonomy places the organism in Eukaryota, Metazoa, Chordata, Actinopteri, Siluriformes, Bagridae.
UUGAGAUGGGACUAGGCAGAGUUUUGUGUUACUUUACUCUAGUAAUCUUCAUUCAAUAUUCCUGCAGUCAGACACUGAUCGAGUCUGAUCCAGUGACCAUCAAACCUGAUCAGUCUCAUAAACUGAUCUGCACAGCAUCUGGAUUUAACUUUGGUGGCUCACAUAUGGGUUGGAUCAGACAGGCGCCUGGAAAAGGACUGGAAUGGAUUGCAUGGAUCUCAAGUGGCAGUAGUGACAUACGUUACUCCAGCACUGUUAAGGGCCGCUUCACCAUCUCCAGAGACAACAGUAAGAUGCAGGUGUAUCUGCAGAUGAACAACAUGAGGACAGAAGACACUGCAGUUUAUUACUGCGCCCGUGAACCACACAGUGAUACUUCCCCUUACACAUCAGUACAAAAACACUUUUUUUUUGACUUACUACAGACAUAUGACAAACCCACAUUUUCAGAUUCUUGGAGGUGAAAGAAACAAAAUGUUUACAGUGUCUCUGACUUACAUGUUACCACUUGUAAGUCAGAGU